AUAGGUUUGGAGCAAUGCAGCUUAGGCUUAUGUGUUACUUCAAGGAAACACCCGUAAGAGGUAUAAGACCAUGAUCACUAAAUGGAAAUAGGACGAGUGGAAAGGAAUCUUAACAGCAACAACAGAAUAGAAAAUGGAGUGUGGAUGCCUAAUCUCACUUCUCAUUCAAUAUUAAGCUGAUGAUCCAAAUGCAACUAGUAACCAUUCUGUUUUCUUCUUCCUUUCUUGGAAUUAUAAGCAACGUGGAAUAGUAAGUGUUCAUGGCAACAAGUCUAGACUCAAUGAGUUAUGCAAUUAAGAUCUGAAAACCCCUGAAGAUUCAAGAAUUGAAAUGGUGGGAACAAGUGUCUAAAGGCUGGAAUUGGUCCCUAAUCAAUGUCAAUUCAUAAAUUCAAAUCAUGUCCAAAUA
Molecule: long non-coding RNA, 409 nt
Organism: Leopardus geoffroyi (Geoffroy's cat)
Lineage: Eukaryota; Metazoa; Chordata; Mammalia; Carnivora; Felidae
Exons: 4
Source: RefSeq, a predicted model, not a curated record